Molecule: long non-coding RNA, 423 nt
Organism: Gastrolobium bilobum
Lineage: Eukaryota; Viridiplantae; Streptophyta; Magnoliopsida; Fabales; Fabaceae
Exons: 3
Source: RefSeq, a predicted model, not a curated record
AUGAAAAUUAAGUACUUCCCGAAAAAGGAUAUGAAACUGAAUUGAAAUUGGAUGAUGACGGAAAUACUUCGUUCAAAUCCUCAAGAGAUAUAGAAAGGAGCCAAUCAGAUGAUGAAAAUGAAAAUGAAAAUCCACCCAAAUCAAAAAAUGCAGUUUUUUCAAGGCUCAACUACUAUGUUGUCUGGGAACACCUUCAAAAAGGCUUUAAUUGUAUUAAUAAAAUUUGGGAACAAAAGAAGAGACAUAAGUUAGCAGAGCAUCUAGCUAACUUGCUAGUGAAGAAGGACGAGUCGUGGCUAUAUUCUCAUAACGAUAUCCAGCCACUGGUUGUGUUACCAGAUGAUUUUCCCUCCAACGUCACAGAGAAAAGAAAAGAAAUUGAGCUGAAGAAGAAUGAGAAAAUCAAGCAGCAAAAUAAACAAA